Lacerta agilis (Sand lizard) is the source of this 412-nucleotide long non-coding RNA. RefSeq lists it as uncharacterized. The record is from RefSeq and is a predicted model, not a curated record. NCBI's taxonomy places the organism in Eukaryota, Metazoa, Chordata, Lepidosauria, Squamata, Lacertidae. The transcript is spliced from 3 exons.
AUCACAAUUGUAAAUAGCCAUGUCCCUGGAGCACAUUAUUCUGAAAUCACUCGGUGAAGAAUACAGGAGUUUGCUUAUCUGGCUGCAUUGAACGCAGCAAUCGAAAGCAGUACGUACAUUCUGCUUGGGCGGCAAUAAAGGGAAGAAGAUUGUCUGCCAUCCUGUGGAAUAGAUACCGAACUUCCUAUUACGAGUUCAGGAGGAAAUGCAGCGCAAGGCCAAAUUAAUCAGGAAUAAAAUGAGGCCCGCAAUCUCCCUUUCGACAUCCACAUGACAAAUGAGGUGCUCUACGUCUGGUGUCGAAGAAUUGUUGCUGAAAUACUCAGAGAUAAAGUUUGGCAUUGUGGCCCAAAUGGCGGUUGGGAAGAAGGUUCCAGAAGGUUCUCUUUGGGUAUAUAGGAGACGCAUCUCC